GAUGAACGCUGGCGGCGUGCCUAACACAUGCGAGUCGAACGGAAAGACCCUGAGCUUGUGCUCUUACCGUUAGCGGCUGGCGGGCGUGUCACGCGUGCAUCGUCAUCUUCUUUUUCGGGGAUCAUAACGUAACGCAGGUUACGAUAAUACAGCAUAUCAUGUACCGCUGGGAGCAAUGGAUCUUCUCGGCUUUCGCGAUUGAAUUAGCCGCUUUCGGACUAGAUAGUUGGGUGGGUAAGGGCCUACCAAGGCAACGAUACGUAGCUUAUCUGAGAGGAUGAUCGGCCACACUGGAACGGAGACACGGUCCAGACUCCUACGGGAGGCAGCAGUGGGGAAUAUUCGGCAAUGGGCGCAAGCCUGACAGAGCGAUACCGCGUGGGUGAAGAAGGCCUUCGGGUCGUAAAGCCCUUUUGUUGGGAAAGAAAAGCUGUAGGAUAAGACACCGCUGUUGUGACGGUACCUAAUAAAUAAGCACCGGCUAACUACGUG
This 492-nucleotide ribosomal RNA is filed under the name uncultured bacterium. Its description in RNAcentral is "partial 16S ribosomal RNA". It matches the Rfam family "Bacterial small subunit ribosomal RNA", at positions 28 to 507 of the family's 1533-position model. The record is from RNAcentral.